Molecule: transfer RNA, 72 nt
Filed under: Calothrix parasitica NIES-267
Lineage: Bacteria; Bacillati; Cyanobacteriota; Cyanophyceae; Nostocales; Calotrichaceae
Description: tRNA-Leu
Rfam family: tRNA
About the family: Transfer RNA (tRNA) molecules are approximately 80 nucleotides in length. Their secondary structure includes four short double-helical elements and three loops (D, anti-codon, and T loops).
Source: RNAcentral
UACAUACUAGCCAAACGGUAAGGCAAAGGAUUUAGGUUCCUUUAUUUCCGGGUUCGAUUCCUGGGUAUAAAC